This is a long non-coding RNA of Homo sapiens (human), 1686 nucleotides long. Ensembl annotates it as hepatocellular carcinoma up-regulated long non-coding RNA. Its record names the gene HULC. The record is from Ensembl. NCBI's taxonomy places the organism in Eukaryota, Metazoa, Chordata, Mammalia, Primates, Hominidae.
UUCUUAACACGUUAAGAGACAGAGCAACUGUAGCUGGAACAGAGAUUUGGCUACUGCUGUUUGAGGACAGAGACAACCAAGAGGAACAUAGACACAUCUGGAGUACAAAACACAAAACAAAACAUCAGCAUCUUCUGUAGGUUCAUGGGAGAUGAAUAUAUUCCACCAGGAUUGUAUUCUAACUCAAAUAGCUCAAAGGACACCUUCUCCGGGAAACCUUCCCUGACUUCCGACGCUGUUUCCUGUUACCCAUGAUGUACAUUAGAACACAGCAACUAUUUGAGUGAAAUAAGUAUUUUUAUUUAUUUCAAGAGGAAAGCAAAGUCGAAGGGUGUUCAGGGCUACAGUUUUGCUUGACCAGAUGUUGCCAAGUUUCAAAGUCAAAUCGGUUCAUCUCCUGGCUAUCAGCUAAAGGGUGUUGUAUUUGUAAGCAUUGAGAACUUCUAUCUACUGCUAUUGUAUUUUGCAUAUUUGUAUUUUCUGAGUUCUAUUUGAGAGAGACGGAAUUACGCAUUUCCAUAUGGAUCAUCCUCUUCCCUAUGUAUGUUGCUUUAUUGCCUUUUGGAAGAAAAAAAGUGAGAGUUGCAGUCUGUAUUUAGGCCAUUUCUAUGUUCUUUAUUGGGUUACGUUUGAAUGCCCAAUUUGAUCUCAAUGGCACGUCCUUUGUAACAUAAAAUAAAACAUGGUGCUCAGGAAAAGUAACGACACACACAUCCAGGCCCUUUCAUAGCAGUUGGUAAAGCUUAAGCCUUGCCUCUCUGUGUGGUAGUUUCCCUUCCCUUUCUUUUCGUUCCCUGUGACAAGCAGCCAUUGUCCCCUUGGUGAGAUCUGCAAUAUUACUUUGACCCCAGCCCAUCAAUCUGCCUCAAUUGGAUAAUGAUCUGUAAUCACGUUCUUUCAGGGGAGUCUAUAAAUUUGCCAAGGCCCCAUUCUCUUCUGAAGGACUCCUUAUGUUCACUCCCAUUUGUGCAAAUGUGCUCUCUUUUACAGGGCUAAAUAGCCAUGCACAUGGUCCAUUCUGUGAGGAGGCACCGGGCGGUUCUCUGUUGAUUUUCCACGCUCUAGUCUCUUAAAGGAGACUAAGGCUGACAUGCAGGGACACAGUGGGGGGGUGGCCCGAGCCAGGCCACAUCACAGGCAGCCGCUUUUCUCAUUAAGACUGACCCAUCAUUAGGUCACUUUGUGCCAUCCUUGUAAUCAAUGAGCUUAAUGUUUAGUGCAAAAAAAAAAAAAGUUAUUUAAGGAAAGGAGCUGGGAGCUGGAAGAGGAAAAGAGGAAAGAAAAAUGGUAGGAAGCAUGGAGAAAUUCACCACUUCUAAAUCUUAGGGUUGGUUAUACUUUGCCCAAAGGGUAGGAUGAACUCAAAUAUGCUACAUGUGAUUCCUCAAACAACCGCUUCCAGUCCUGUUUGUUUUCUGUAAAACGUAAAUAUUCUUAGACGCAACAUUUCCCCCAGGGGCCCCGCACUUCUCAUGAAGUCAGAUGAAGUGCUCUGUCUAUAACCGAGGCUGAAUCUGCAUUUGCUGGGAACCCUGUAGUGGUGAAGAGAGAGGUGGUCAAAGUCCGUGAGCAAUUGGGGUGGUUUUGGAGGGGUAAUUGGAUUUUGUUUAUUGUUGGAUCCCAAAGAGUUUCAUGACCACAGCCAAAUACAGCAAAUAAAAAAGAAAAAAUAUAUUAAAUUAAAAA